UACGAGGGGGCAAGCGUUAUUCAAUUUAACUGGGCGUAAAGCGUCUGUAGGCGGCAAGUUUCGUUAUUCGGUAAACAUGAAAGUUGGACUUUCAGAGACGGGUAAAACGUACUUUGCUAGAGUCAUAGAGAGGAUCGUAGAAUUUCUGAAGUAGGGAUGGAAUCCUGUCACAUCAGAAGGAAUACCAAAGGCGAAGGCAACGAUCUGGCUAUGACUGACGCUCAGAGACGAAAGCAUGGGGAGCGAAUGGGAUUAGAUACCCGUU
RNAcentral lists this ribosomal RNA (265 nucleotides) under uncultured bacterium. RNAcentral describes it as "partial 16S ribosomal RNA". It matches the Rfam family "Bacterial small subunit ribosomal RNA", at positions 524 to 791 of the family's 1533-position model. The record is from RNAcentral.